AAGGUGCUGCAUGGUUGUCGUCAGCUCGUGCCGUGAGGUGUCCCGGGUUAAGUCCCAUAACGAGCGCAACCCUUAUCGUUAGUUGCCAUCUGGUAAUGCAGGGGACUCUAGCGAGACUGCCGGUAAUAAACCGGAGGAAGGUGGGAUGACGUCAAAUCAUCAUGCCCCUUAUGACCUGGGCUACACACGUGCUACAAUGGUUGGUACAACGAGUUGCGAGUCGGUGACGGCGAGCUAAUCUCUUAAAGCCAAUCUCAGUUCGGAUUGUAGGCUGCAACUCGCCUACAUGAAGUCGGAAUCGCUAGUAAUCGCGGAUCAGCACGCCGCGGUGAAUACGUUCCCGGGCCUU
RNAcentral lists this ribosomal RNA (349 nucleotides) under uncultured Streptococcus sp. RNAcentral's name for it is "bacterial SSU rRNA". It matches the Rfam family "Bacterial small subunit ribosomal RNA", at positions 1035 to 1382 of the family's 1533-position model. Lineage: Bacteria; Bacillati; Bacillota; Bacilli; Lactobacillales; Streptococcaceae. The record is from RNAcentral.